GACGAACGCUGGCGGCGUGCUUAACACAUGCAAGUCGAACGGUGAACCUCUUCGGAGGGGAUCAGUGGCGAACGGGUGAGUAACACGUGGGCAACCUGCCCCCGGCUCUGGGAUAACUCCAAGAAAUUGGGGCUAAUACCGGAUGUUCACCGCUUCCCGCAUGGGUGGUGGUGGAAAGGGUUUCCGGCUGGGGAUGGGCCCGCGGCCUAUCAGCUGGUUGGUGGGGUAGUGGCCUACCAAGGCGACGACGGGUAGCCGGCCUGAGAGGGUGACCGGCCACACUGGGACUGAGACACGGCCCAGACUCCUACGGGAGGCAGCAGUGGGGAAUAUUGCGCAAUGGGCGGAAGCCUGACGCAGCGACGCCGCGUGGGGGAUGACGGCCUUCGGGUUGUAAACCUCUUUCAGCAGGGACGAAGCGCAAGUGACGGUACCUGCAGAAGAAGCACCGGCCAACUACGUG
RNAcentral lists this ribosomal RNA (463 nucleotides) under uncultured bacterium. RNAcentral's name for it is "partial 16S ribosomal RNA". It matches the Rfam family "Bacterial small subunit ribosomal RNA", at positions 28 to 507 of the family's 1533-position model. The record is from RNAcentral.